GGAGUGCAAGCGUUAUCCGGAAUUAUUGGGCGUAAAGCGUCCGCAGGUGGCUUUUCAAGUCUGUUGUCAAAGCGCGGGGCUUAACUCCGUACAGGCAAUGGAAACUGUGAAGCUAGAGUAUGGUAGGGGUAGAGGGAAUUCCCGGUGUAGCGGUGAAAUGCGUAGAGAUCCGGCGGAACACCGGUGGCGAAAGCGGUCUCCUGGGCCGAGGGCCGACGCUGAGGCGCGAGAGCGUGGGGAGCGAACCGG
This 249-nucleotide ribosomal RNA is filed under the name uncultured bacterium. RNAcentral's name for it is "partial 16S ribosomal RNA". It matches the Rfam family "Bacterial small subunit ribosomal RNA", at positions 529 to 776 of the family's 1533-position model. The record is from RNAcentral.